AGCUUUGUCCAGUGGCAGUAUUGUAGCCAGUAAGAUUUAUCCAAGACCUUGUGAUUAUUGUUAAUUGAAAACUUUUCCCAAUACCCCACCAUGACGACUUGAGAUACAGUCAGCAUUGGCAAUUUUGACAGUCUCUAUGGAGG
The sequence is a small nuclear RNA, 143 nucleotides long. Its record names the gene U4. It matches the Rfam family "U4 spliceosomal RNA". From Rfam's summary of the family: U4 small nuclear RNA (U4 snRNA) is a component of the major U2-dependent spliceosome. The structure of U4 snRNA from yeast and human has been reported. The record is from Ensembl.